RNAcentral lists this small nuclear RNA (103 nucleotides) under Carlito syrichta (Philippine tarsier). Lineage: Eukaryota; Metazoa; Chordata; Mammalia; Primates; Tarsiidae. The record is from RNAcentral.
GUGCUCGCUUUGACAACACGUAGACUAAACUUGGAACGAUACAGAGAAGAGUAGCAUGGCCUCUGUGCAAGGAUGACAAAUUUGUGAAGCGUUCCAUAUUUUU